Molecule: ribosomal RNA, 450 nt
Filed under: uncultured bacterium
Lineage: Bacteria
Description: partial 16S ribosomal RNA
Rfam family: Bacterial small subunit ribosomal RNA
Source: RNAcentral
GUGGGGAAUAUUGGACAAUGGGCGCAAGCCUGAUCCAGCAAUGCCGCGUGCAGGAAGAAGGCCUUCGGGUUGUAAACUGCUUUUGUACGGAACGAAACGGUCCUGGUUAAUACCUGGGGCUAAUGACGGUACCUGCAGAAUAAGCACCGGCUAACUACGUGCCAGCAGCCGCGGUAAGACGUAGGGUGCAAGCGUUAAUCGGAAUUACUGGGCGUAAAGCGUGCGCAGGCGGUUUUGUAAGACAGGUGUGAAAUCCCCGGGCUCAACCUGGGAACUGCACUUGUGACUGCAAGGCUAGAGUGUGUCAGAGGGAGGUGGAAUUCCGCGUGUAGCAGUGAAAUGCGUAGAGAUGCGGAGGAACACCGAUGGCGAAGGCAGCCUCCUGGGAUAACACUGACGCUCAGGCACGAAAGCGUGGGGAGCAAACAGGAUUAGAUACCCUGGUAGUCC